CAACUACGUGCCAGCAGCCGCGGUAAGACGUAGGGCGCGAGCGUUGUCCGGAUUUAUUGGGCGUAAAGAGCUCGUAGGCGGCUUGUUGCGUCGUCCGUGAAAACCUGGGGCUCAACUCCAGGCUUGCGGUCGAUACGGGCAGGCUAGAGUUCGGUAGGGGAGACUGGAAUUCCUGGUGUAGCGGUGAAAUGCGCAGAUAUCAGGAGGAACACCGGUGGCGAAGGCGGGUCUCUGGGCCGACACUGACGCUGAGGAGCGAAAGCGUGGGGAGCGAACAGGAUUAGAUACCCUGGUAGUCCACGCUGUAAACGUUGGGCGCUAGGUGUGGGGGGCCUCUCCGGUUUCCUGCGCCGUAGCUAACGCAUUAAGCGCCCCGCCUGGGGAGUACGGCCGCAAGGCUAAAACUCAAAGGAAUUGACGGGGGCCCGCACAAGCGGCGGAGCAUGCGGAUUAAUUCGAUGCGACGCGAAGAACCUUACCUGGGUUUGACAUGGCCGUUAAAGCCGUAGAGAUACGGUGUCCUUCGGGGGCGGU
Molecule: ribosomal RNA, 534 nt
Filed under: uncultured Micromonospora sp.
Lineage: Bacteria; Bacillati; Actinomycetota; Actinomycetes; Micromonosporales; Micromonosporaceae
Description: bacterial SSU rRNA
Rfam family: Bacterial small subunit ribosomal RNA
Source: RNAcentral